GUCCACGCCGUAACGAUGGAUACUAGCUGUUGGGAGCGAUCUCAGUGGCUAAGCGAAAGUGAUAAGUAUCCCACCUGGGGAGUACGUUCGCAAGAAUGAAACUCAAAGGAAUUGACGGGGCCCGCACAAGCGGUGGAGCAUGUGGUUUAAUUCGAUGAUACGCGAGGAACCUUACCAAGGCUUAAAUGUAGAUUGACCGGUUUGGAAACAGAUCUUUCGCAAGACAAUUUACAAGGUGCUGCAUGGUUGUCGU
RNAcentral lists this ribosomal RNA (253 nucleotides) under uncultured bacterium. RNAcentral's name for it is "partial 16S ribosomal RNA". It matches the Rfam family "Bacterial small subunit ribosomal RNA", at positions 793 to 1055 of the family's 1533-position model. The record is from RNAcentral.